CAUCAACCCUGUGAACUUACCUAAACGUUGCUUCGGCGGGAAUAGACGGCCCUGUAAAACGGGCCGCCCCCGCCAGAGGACUCUUAACUCUGUUUCUUAUAAUGUUUCUUCUGAGUAAAACAAGCAAAUAAAUUAAAACUUUCAACAACGGAUCUCUUGGCUCUGGCAUCGAUGAAGAACGCAGCGAAAUGCGAUAAGUAAUGUGAAUUGCAGAAUUCAGUGAAUCAUCGAAUCUUUGAACGCACAUUGCGCCCGCCAGUAUUCUGGCGGGCAUGCCUGUUCGAGCGUCAUUACAACCCUCAGGCCCCCGGGCCUGGCGUUGGGGAUCGGCGGAGCGCCCCUCGUGGGCGCACGCCGUCCCCCAAAUACAGUGGCGGUCCCGCCGCAGCUUCCAUCGCGUAGUAGCUAACACCUCGCGACUGGAGAGCGGCGCGGCCACGCCGUAAAACACCCCAACUCUUCUGAAGUUGACCUCGAAUCAGGUAGGAAUACCCGCUGAACUUAAGCAUAUCAAUAAGCGGAGGAAAAGAAACCAACAGGGAUUGCCCCAGUAACGGCGAGUGAAGCGGCAACAGCUCAAAUUUGAAAUCUGGCUCUCGGGCCCGAGUUGUAAUUUGUAGAGGAUGCUUUUGGUGAGGUGCCUUCCGAGUUCCCUGGAACGGGACGCCAUAGAGGGUGAGAGCCCCGUCUGGUUGGACGCCGAACCUCUGUAAAGCUCCUUCGACGAGUCGAGUAGUUUGGGAAUGCUGCUCUAAAUGGGAGGUAUAUGUCUUCUAAAGCUAAAUACCGGCCAGAGACCGAUAGCGCACAAGUAGAGUGAUCGAAAGAUGAAAAGAACUUUGAAAAGAGAGUUAAACAGUACGUGAAAUUGUUGAAAGGGAAGCGCUUGUGACCAGACUUGGGCUUGGUUGAUCAUCCGGGGUUCUCCCCGGUGCACUCUUCCGGCCCAGGCCAGCAUCAGUUCGCCCUGGGGGACAAAGGCUUCGGGAACGUGGCUCUCUCCGGGGAGUGUUAUAGCCCG
This 1021-nucleotide ribosomal RNA is filed under the name Fusarium sp. FSSC. Its description in RNAcentral is "eukaryotic LSU rRNA". The stretch from base 469 to 1021 matches the Rfam family "Eukaryotic large subunit ribosomal RNA", at positions 1 to 565 of the family's 3401-position model. The record is from RNAcentral. Lineage: Eukaryota; Fungi; Ascomycota; Sordariomycetes; Hypocreales; Nectriaceae.